UGGGGAAUAUUGCACAAUGGGCGAAAGCCUGAUGCAGCAACGCCGCGUGAGUGAUGAAGGCCUUCGGGUUGUAAAGCUCUGUCUUCUGGGACGAUAAUGACGGUACCAGAGGAGGAAGCCACGGCUAACUACGUGCCAGCAGCCGCGGUAAUACGUAGGUGGCAAGCGUUGUCCGGAUUUACUGGGCGUAAAGGAUGCGUAGGCGGAUACUUAAGUCAGAUGUGAAAAUCCCGGGCUUAACUUGGGAACUGCAUUUGAAACUGGGUAGCGAGAGUGCGGGAGAGGAAAGUGGAAUUCCUAGUGUAGCGGUGAAAUGCGUAGAGAUUAGGAAGAACACCAGUGGCGAAGGCUACUUUCUGGACCGUAACUGACGCUGAGGCAUGAAAGCGUGG
This 392-nucleotide ribosomal RNA is filed under the name uncultured bacterium. RNAcentral describes it as "bacterial SSU rRNA". It matches the Rfam family "Bacterial small subunit ribosomal RNA", at positions 355 to 764 of the family's 1533-position model. The record is from RNAcentral.